Molecule: ribosomal RNA, 94 nt
Organism: Propithecus coquereli (Coquerel's sifaka)
Lineage: Eukaryota; Metazoa; Chordata; Mammalia; Primates; Indriidae
Source: Ensembl
GUCUAUGGCCAUACCACCCUGAACAUGGCUGAUCUCAUCUGAUCUCAGAAGCUGAGCAGGGUCGGUCCUGGUUAGUACUUGGAUGGGAGAGAGU